RNAcentral lists this long non-coding RNA (2514 nucleotides) under Ooceraea biroi (clonal raider ant). RNAcentral's name for it is "uncharacterized LOC105285494, transcript variant X2". Lineage: Eukaryota; Metazoa; Arthropoda; Insecta; Hymenoptera; Formicidae. The record is from RNAcentral.
UUAAAUGGUACUUUAUGUUUCUUAGACAUUAGAUACGUCUAAGAAACAUAUAUUGGGCUAACAUGUGCUGCUGCAGCAAUUCCGCGUUUCAAUCCUCGAACAUUGUGAAUUCUACUACUAAAUUCGCUUUUUCUGUUCACUCAGUCAAAACGAAUCUCUAAAAAUAACAUGAAGCUUGCAAAUUUAAUUCUGUCAACGAACUCUACUGAGACCACUUGUUAAGUACCCGGCCGUCGAGCGCGUAUCAAAUUAAAAAAUUACGGAUGAAGAAACGCGGAUGUAAUGAGAGACUCGAGCGGGCUUAUCGAGAACGUAAAAAUGACAGAGGCGAUGAUAAACUCUACGCAUUAAGUUUUAGCAUAAUGUCGAAGCCGCGGCGUGUAACGCAUGCCGUUAACGUGCGCGUGUGGGCCGUUGUCGGCCCGUGGAGGUUCUUGAACUUUACCGAGGAUCCGUUUCCAGGAGCGACCGAACGAAGGUUCGGGUGAGGAUCGGCCAGGUGGGGAUCGGAAUCGUCUGCUGGCACGAGACAUCGCCCGGUCGUCAUACCUCGGGCACCCUCCUUGUCGUCCGGACACGUCCCGCGUUCUCCGAAACGCCGUUCCGCUCGCUUCUCAUCGCGUCAAGUUCUCGCGCUAGGAGCCACCGAAGUGAUCGACCCGAAUUGCGGCGGGAAAUAACUCGGCAGACCGGCGACCGGAUCCGAGGGAGUUUGAUAGAUCGCAGUCGAAGCCGAGCAACAAGUGCCUGGAGAAGUUUGCUUCAAAAGUUAAAUAAGCACAUCGCAACCGCGAUCGAAGGGAAAUCGCUUGGCGAGCAACUGCUUACCAAUGCUGUCGAUCAACAUGCGUAUAUUCCAGACUGUAUUACUUCUCGCGUUCUUCGGGGCGAGCGUUCGGUGUUUGCCCCUUGCUGAUGAGACGACCACCGAGUCCGCGAAAAUCGAAGCCUCCGCGGCGACUCCGCAGGAGACAGCCGCGAUCGCGGCUUCACCGACGACCGCGCGUCCUGACGCGUCCACCGAUUACUACGAUCAACGGCAGAACGGGACUGAAAAUUAUCGCAUCCACGUCGACGGCGUGGUGCUGGUAUUCGCGCCGGUCGAGGCGUUGCUCCUGGCUGGUGCCGGCGGCACCACCGAGUCUAACUUAACCGAUCACGUUGGAUCUUCGAUUCAGGCCAUCAGCGAGCUGAGCAAACCCAGCAUCGAUGGUGCCCAGAAUAAAACUGAUCCGGCUACCUCGAAGACGAUAACUAGACCAGCUUUGCGGUUGGCCAAUUUCUUAGCGCCCCUAAUACGUCACAUACGUCACGAAGGAGGUACGAGUGUGCACUGAAACGACUCCUCGACGCUCGCGAUUCCAAUAUGCACAUAGCGUUCCGCAUACAACACAUAUUUUAGAAAACGGGAUAGGAUAUCUGCAUCUACUCUGGGGGAAUGAUGGACGUGUACUCAUAUAUAAUAUAACGUGUAUGAUUUGUGAUUAAUUUGGAAACGCGCACUUAUACCACAACCAAGGGGAAGAAGGUGCUGAUAUUAGCGUUAGUUGGCGAAUUUCUCCGGAAUGUAAAACGGCUUGUAAAAUUGACUCGCAUUCGUGUCGUGUAACGGGCGGCUGAUCGAUAUACCCACAUAUGUAUUUACAUGUUAAACGCGUUGAAUGCGAUGUCUGAGUGUUAGUGUUGAACCCGUAAGAUUCGCACGCAUACUUACGCAAUACUUUAAUUUAAUGCGAAGCUAUAUGUACGCGCAGUGUACUCACACAGUAUUAUACAGAAUCAGUGUCUCGAUAAGAAAAUUUAUUUAAUUAAACAUUAAAAUACAUACGUGUUUCUUCUUGAUGUAUCAUCACAACGAUCUCGAUAAAAAUGCUUAAAGCUACGCUUAUAUCCUUCACGUUUUUCCCUAUCCUCGCCUAUGAUGAAGGAAACCUCUCAAUUCUAAGUGCUUAUAAUAUAUCUCGACACUUUGGUUUCACUCUGAGCAACUCAGUUAAUAUCUUUUGAAAUCUGUCAUAGACAAACGAAAAUACUACAAAUGUAAGCGUGUAUUCCUAAAUAAUUAACGAAGAAAAGAUUACGUAAGAAUCGCGUAAGAUCGCUCUUCUAGUCUUAUUUUCUCUAGUCUUUAUUAUUUAAAAAGCUUUUUAUGUGCAUUUUAUGUAUAUGUAUAUCUAUGACUUGUUGCAAAAUAUUUCUCUAUCUGUUCUCUUAGAUGUCACAUGAUUAUUAUACAGAACUGUUGUACGAUCGAAGACAUGAUAAAAGAUAUCCGGUUUUCAUAUUUUAAACGUUAAUAUCUUACUGUGUUCUUCUUCCAUUAAAUGCUAAUUUUCUCAUUUUUGUAAAAGUACAGUACCCUGUGCAUCUCAAAAUGAAAAGUGUACCUCGAGAUUUUGAAAUUUAAUUCAAUUCUAUUAUUUCUUAAUUAUUUCUUACGCGGAUAGUGCUAUUAGAAUUUUUAUACGAAUUGAAAUGAAUUAAGUUACGACAAUAAAUUGCGCAUGGAAUAUA